This is a long non-coding RNA of Salmo salar (Atlantic salmon), 422 nucleotides long. RefSeq lists it as uncharacterized. Lineage: Eukaryota; Metazoa; Chordata; Actinopteri; Salmoniformes; Salmonidae. The record is from RefSeq and is a predicted model, not a curated record.
GUUUCUUCCAUUGUUAAAUUCCCUUUCCCUUACAUACUUUGAUAGAUUUUGGGUGGUUGGUCUUAUUCUACACUGCCUCAUGUCUGUGCUUGGUAUGUAUUGUGGUCAGGGCUCAGUGUGUUUCAGUGUGCAGCAGUGGCUCUGAACGUCACCGUGCGAGAGCUGGAGAGAAGUGUGGCCCCCAGUCAGAUGAGACUCCACACACUACGCAAGAAGCAGAUAAUGGAAACACUGGAGUGUCUGCUGCAAAUGGGAAGCUACCAUCACACUCUGGAUAAUCGCUGUGGGGAGAAUGCAAAUGAAGUGGGAAGCAAAAUGGAGUCCUACAAGUUUAUGCAAGGAGUGGUCUCCAGACCCAGUAAGGACCUGAGCCCUAGGACCAUGCCUCAGGACUACCUGGCUUGAUGACUCCUUGCUGUCCC